Zootermopsis nevadensis is the source of this 1594-nucleotide non-coding RNA. The record is from RefSeq and is a predicted model, not a curated record. NCBI's taxonomy places the organism in Eukaryota, Metazoa, Arthropoda, Insecta, Blattodea, Termopsidae.
AAGUGUAUCCAAAAGAAGGAGGAAACACAGAGGAGCAGGGGGUUCAUCUGGAGGUGUUACAGCGGGAGUCGGCGGUAGUAGGAGUCUGGGUGGCCGUGAAUCGACGAGGAAUGAUGAGUGUCUGAGCGCCAUGGACCAGGAGGAGACUGCGAUCGACGCAGGGGCGGCCAGAAACUACAGGAGAGGGCCAGAAACCAUGACAACGGAGAACGGACUGCAGGGCGAUACAGAGAUGACGGUGCUCACGAAGGCCUGAAGAUGGAACUCGACAAGAUUCUGGAAAUUUUCAUCUGAGAGUAACAGCAGUUAUGGAGGAAACAGCUUCCUGAGAAGACUAAUAUUUGUGAAUUAUCAACAUAAAACUUUUAUGUUUUACAAAAUAUGUAAAAAAAAGGCGUCAUGGAAUUCCUUUGUCUACAGGAAAGUUCUAUGAAAGUUAAUUGAUUCACUGAAUCACGAGUAAAUUCAAUGUCAUAUCAGGCGAAGUAUAACUUCAAAGCUUGACUAAUGCAGCCUUCGAAACCCACGAGCCCCCCUGACGAUAUAUGGAAUGUUAACAAAACAAUCCGACGGAUGGGUUUGGUUGGCUGCUUUAUGGUAAGAACUGUUUGUGUAUGUAAUACAUUUACUUUUUAUUGUCUUCGUCAACGAAUAGUUAAAUGGCGACUACGUCACGAAUGUAAUGUAUAAUCCAUUGCAAUUUAUCACAGAUAUCAUUUGGGUUUAAAAUAUUUCUAGUCAGAACGAAGUUAUGUUUGAUGUACCCUAGAUGCAAAACAUUACUAUAGUAAAGGUUGUCAUAUGCUAUAUGAAUGUGUAUUGAACCAUCCAUAUUAUGUAUGAAUAAUAAAGACAUGGUGACUGUAUUAACAGCUGUAAACCUUUACGAGGAGUCAAAGUGGUUUACGUAUUCGAUAGUAGAUUAUCUUGCGUACACGAAAAUUUUAUGGUAGACUAAAUUUUUUAAUAAUGAAAUGUUUUGCUUAGAUAUUUUUAAGAGGAAACAUGCAGUAUGUAUAUGUUCAUAUAAUUUUUAAAAGUCGUGGAACUAAAGUAAACCCGCUAAGAAAGGUUCUGAAUAACUAGGCGCAAAGUAGUUACUUUUCCAAACUGGUUAAUUGUUACUAAUAUGUUGUUUUUUUUGGUAAAGAACAGUGAUUUUGCUAGAUAUUUUAUCCCUGAAGCAGAUACGAGUUUGCCCAAAAUUGACAGGUUGAGUUUGAGAUUCUCGAGCUUGAGUCCGCACUUAAAGAAAUAUUCUUUAUUAUAAAUUAACACAUUUCUGUUAUGUCAGAUCGAAAUCCGCUGUUUAAAAAAAAAAUCGUGCGUUUAAUGUAUAACUCUGCAAUGUUAUAAAGUUAUAUAAAUCAAAGUUACAUCUUUUUUUAUAAGAUGUAAGUUACUUUUAAUUUCCAACAUAUUAUGCAGAUAUAUUAACUUUUAUGUAUGAUAUAAUUUUUUUUGAAAAUUUAAACUUUCAUUAUGUGAAAUUUAGGAAUUUAUUUAAUAUUAGAAUAUGAUGGCUUGUGCUUUUGAUGUAACUCAAGAAUGAUGUACUUGUAACUGUCUGAACAUGAACCCAAAAGAAAAUUUA